Molecule: ribosomal RNA, 113 nt
Filed under: uncultured bacterium
Lineage: Bacteria
Description: partial 16S ribosomal RNA
Rfam family: Bacterial small subunit ribosomal RNA
Source: RNAcentral
CGGUGAAUACGUUCCCGGACCUUGUACACACCGCUCGUCAAGCCAUGGAAGCUGGGUGUACCUAAAGUCGAUAACCGUAAGGAGUCGCCUAGGGUAAAACUAGUAACUGGGCU